RNAcentral lists this ribosomal RNA (253 nucleotides) under uncultured bacterium. RNAcentral's name for it is "partial 16S ribosomal RNA". It matches the Rfam family "Bacterial small subunit ribosomal RNA", at positions 524 to 776 of the family's 1533-position model. The record is from RNAcentral.
UACGUAGGUGGCAAGCGUUGUCCGGAAUUAUUGGGCGUAAAGCGCGCGCAGGCGGUCCUUUAAGUCUGAUGUGAAAGCCCACGGCUCAACCGUGGAGGGUCAUUGGAAACUGGGGGACUUGAGUGCAGAAGAGGAGAGUGGAAUUCCACGUGUAGCGGUGAAAUGCGUAGAUAUUGGGAGGAACACCGGUGGCGAAGGCGGCCCUCUGGACCGGUACUGACGCUGAUGCGCGAAAGCGUGGGGAGCAAACGGG